Molecule: unclassified non-coding RNA, 352 nt
Filed under: soil metagenome
Description: partial contains 5.8S ribosomal RNA, internal transcribed spacer 2, and large subunit ribosomal RNA
Rfam family: 5.8S ribosomal RNA (bases 1-120)
Source: RNAcentral
GAUGAAGAACGUAGCGAAAUGCGAUAAGUAAUGUGAAUUGCAGAAUUCAGUGAAUCAUCGAAUCUUUGAACGCACAUUGCGCCCGCCAGUAUUCUAGCGGGCAUGCCUGUUCGAGCGUCAUUACAACCCUCAGGCCCCCGGGCCUGGCGUUGGGGAUCGGCGGAGCCCCCCGUGGGCACACGCCGUCCCCCAAAUACAGUGGCGGUCCCGCCGCAGCUUCCAUCGCGUAGUAGCUAACACCUCGCGACUGGAGAGCGGCGCGGCCACGCCGUAAAACACCCAACUCUUCUGAAGUUGACCUCGAAUCAGGUAGGAAUACCCGCUGAACUUAAGCAUAUCAAUAAGCGGAGGA